RNAcentral lists this ribosomal RNA (497 nucleotides) under uncultured bacterium. Its description in RNAcentral is "partial 16S ribosomal RNA". It matches the Rfam family "Bacterial small subunit ribosomal RNA", at positions 28 to 507 of the family's 1533-position model. The record is from RNAcentral.
GAUGAACGCUGGCGGCGUGCCUAAUACAUGCAAGUCGAGCGAACAGACGAGGAGCUUGCUCCUCUGACGUUAGCGGCGGACGGGUGAGUAACACGUGGAUAACCUACCUAUAAGACUGGGAUAACUUCGGGAAACCGGAGCUAAUACCGGAUAACAUGUUGAACCGCAUGGUUCAACAGUGAAAGACGGUCUUGCUGUCACUUAUAGAUGGAUCCGCGCCGCAUUAGCUAGUUGGUAAGGUAACGGCUUACCAAGGCAACGAGGCGUAGCCGACCUGAGCGGGUGGUCGGCCACACGGGAACUGAGACACGGUCCAGACUCCGACGGGAGGCAGCAGUAGGGAAUCUUCCGCAAUGGGCGAAAGCCUGACGGAGCAACGCCGCGUGAGUGAAGAAGGUCUUCGGAUCGUAAAACUCUGUUAUUAGGGAAGAACAAAUGUGUAAGUAACUAUGCACGUCUUGACGGUACCUAAUCAGAAAGCCACGGCUAACUACGUG